Molecule: long non-coding RNA, 302 nt
Filed under: Gossypium raimondii (Peruvian cotton)
Lineage: Eukaryota; Viridiplantae; Streptophyta; Magnoliopsida; Malvales; Malvaceae
Description: long non-coding RNA (GRAI_LNC003784)
Source: RNAcentral
GUCUAUGAACCCCCAAAACCCUAAAUUUUUACCACCACUUUUUGCCUCCAUACCUUGCCACCAAAGUCACUACUUUAGCUAAAUUUUAACUAAAAUUUGCCCUAAUCCAUCACUAUAUAAACCUCUUAACACCUUCAUAAUUUUCACAACACCUAAACAAUUAGCCUUCAACCUAAACCUACAUAUUUUUCUUCUCCUAGCCAUCGGCCUCAAGUCUCAAGAGCUUCUCCCCAAUUUCUUUUCUUUCUUGUCGCAUACCCCUACUAGCGUCACCGCAAGCCCUUCAUCGUAGCACCCUUUCC